Molecule: long non-coding RNA, 381 nt
Organism: Papilio xuthus (Asian swallowtail)
Lineage: Eukaryota; Metazoa; Arthropoda; Insecta; Lepidoptera; Papilionidae
Exons: 2
Source: RefSeq, a predicted model, not a curated record
AAGCCCCAAAUGAUUGAAGUCAUUAAUAUAAAAUCUUAUAAAAUAACUAAUGCUAAGUUUGGAUCAUCAUUGUUACAUUGUCAGUGAGAGAGAAACAAACAUGAAGUAUUUGGUUGUUCUCGUUCUCUGUCUGGCGCUCACAUCAGCCAUGCCAUACUUAAGAGUGGGAGCGGAAUUCGGACGAAACUUGGGCGGUCUGGGCAGGCAUCAUCGACUACAUUCACACAUCUUUAAAAGAUCUGCAGACGAGAAAUUCUACAAAUCUGAGGACAAAGACAAAUUGAAUGCAGAACCUGCGCCCAGCGCAGGUUAUUAGAUAUGUUAGUAACUGUAACCAUGCGUUUUCAUUGUAGACAUACAUGAAUAUAAACAUUUGAUGGA